Camponotus floridanus (Florida carpenter ant) is the source of this 1065-nucleotide long non-coding RNA. RefSeq lists it as uncharacterized. The record is from RefSeq and is a predicted model, not a curated record. The transcript is spliced from 3 exons. Lineage: Eukaryota; Metazoa; Arthropoda; Insecta; Hymenoptera; Formicidae.
UAGAGAAAAAGUUCAAUAUUAUAUGAUGAAUGGAAGAAAGAGGUAACUUAUAGAGGUAAAUUAUAUGAUGUAUGAAUGAAAGAGGUAACUUAUUUAAACAUUUAUGAUACAAUAAUAGUAAACACUUUACUCAUGAGAAACAAAAAAAUUUACACUAAAAAGGCACUCAAAACGGAUCAAAUACCUAUGUCUAUAUUGAGUCUAUAAUGAUAAAAGAGAAAACGUAAAUACUCACUAUAACUUUAAAAAUUUAUAUUCUGUAUUAAAUUAAAAUAAAAUAACAAAAGUAUAGCAUUGCAGAAAAAUUUCGAUAUAAACUAUGCUACAUACAUUAAUAUGAAACAAUGCUUGUCUGAAGUGCCUCGAACCACUUUUGUAAAAUGCAAAAAGGAAAAAACAUUUUAAGUGUUAUUAUGACUUCUUUAUAUAGUUUGGGAGUACAAAAAUAUUUGUAAAGAAAAUACAUAAAGAAUAUGGGCUUGUUUAUCAUCAUGCGUCAUAAUAGCGUGUUGUGAGGCAAUUGGCAUAAAGAAUAUGUAUGCCAAAGUAGAAGGAGCUAAGAAUGUAAAACAUACUAUAAAAUCAUUCUUUAUUGAUUAUUCUUUAAUGCAACAGAAAUCAUAUCAACAAUUAGCAAUUGAAAAACGGUUGCAAUCGAGUUUAAAUAAGAAAAUGAGAAUUGUCCAGUAGUACUUGCUUCACCAGUGCAAGUCAGAAAACCAGAAGUACCGUCCAAUGAGCCUCUCGAUUUUAUUCAAUAUGUAUAAUGGAUAAUAGAGUGGUAUUGAAAAAAAAGAAAUUACUGCCAUCCUUUACUAAACUUCCGUCUUACAAAAAAAGAUUGGUAAGACUUGAACGAACGAAGAACUCCGAUGAAACGAGUAUACAAUUGCUAGCGAAAUAUGAAAAGCUGUCUAGUUUUUUGACAGAAAAAAAUAUCCAGAGGCACAAAUACUUCAUAAGCGAAAGCCACGCGAAGAUGAAACAGUAGAAUAAAGAAGCCAUAUAUUAUUGUACUUUUAUGUAUAAACGUUUCAAAAUAAAAUCUCUAUGAAUGAAGUGUUA